AGCGAACGCUGGCGGCAGGCUUAACACAUGCAAGUCGAGCGGGCAUCCUUGUGGUGUCAGCGGCAGACGGGUGAGUAACGCGUGGGAACGUGCCCUUCGGUUCGGAAUAACUCAGGGAAACUUGAGCUAAUACCGGAUACGUGCGAGAGCAGAAAGGUUUAUCUGCCGAAGGAUCGGCCCGCGUCUGAUUAGCUAGUUGGUGAGGUUACGGCUCACCAAGGCGACGAUCAGUAGCUGGUCUGAGAGGAUGAUCAGCCACACUGGGACUGAGACACGGCCCAGACUCCUACGGGAGGCAGCAGUGGGGAAUAUUGGACAAUGGGGGCAACCCUGAUCCAGCCAUGCCGCGUGAGUGAUGACGGCCUUAGGGUUGUAAAGCUCCUUUCUCCGGGACGAUAAUGACGGUACCGGAGGAAUAAGCCCCGGCUAACUUCGUG
This 437-nucleotide ribosomal RNA is filed under the name uncultured bacterium. RNAcentral's name for it is "partial 16S ribosomal RNA". It matches the Rfam family "Bacterial small subunit ribosomal RNA", at positions 29 to 507 of the family's 1533-position model. The record is from RNAcentral.